Molecule: ribosomal RNA, 253 nt
Filed under: uncultured bacterium
Lineage: Bacteria
Description: partial 16S ribosomal RNA
Rfam family: Bacterial small subunit ribosomal RNA
Source: RNAcentral
UACGGAGGGUGCAAGCGUUAUCCGGAUUCACUGGGUCUAAAGGGUGCGUAGGUGGGUUGGUAAGUCAGUGGUGAAAUCUCCGAGCUUAACUUGGAAACUGCCAUUGAUACUAUCAGUCUUGAAUAUUGUGGAGGUCAGCGGAAUAUGUCAUGUAGCGGUGAAAUGCUUAGAUAUGACAUAGAACACCAAUUGCGAAGGCAGCUGGCUACGCAUAUAUUGACACUGAGGCACGAAAGCGUGGGGAUCAAACAGG